AAAUCCCUCUCCCCUAGACAACCCCCCAAAUAAAUUUAUUAUAUGAUCUUUAGGGUUACAAUUGUUACAACAUUCGAAUAAAUAAAAUAGCGAAAAAAUAAAAAUAUAUAGAUAUAUAUAUACAUUCAAACAAAUAAAUAAAUCCUUCUUCAGUUAAUCUUCAACUUGAACUUCAAGUUUGGAACCUGGACGGAUCUGUUAAGAUCCAUCUUUGAGUUUCGCCGGAUUUCGAUGUCAUUCUUGCCGGAAUAUAUGGCCAAACCUGUCACUGUUGGGGCUGAUCGGAGUUGCUGGUUUUGAUCUGCUGCUGGUACGUCCUUCGCUGGAAAAUAGAGAGGAAGAGCGAGCUGCUGUCUCGCUAGUUGCUGGCUGCAAAAGGAGACGGAGAAAGGGAGAACAAGAAGAAUAGAAGCGAUGGGAGAAGGGGAGAGGUAGGCGGCUGGUGGGCUGCUGGUUGCUGCCUUUACCGGCGGCUUCUGUUUCCUUGAGUUGCUACUGGCGUGCGCCUCUACAGGCGCU
This 519-nucleotide unclassified non-coding RNA is filed under the name Hevea brasiliensis (rubber tree). Lineage: Eukaryota; Viridiplantae; Streptophyta; Magnoliopsida; Malpighiales; Euphorbiaceae. The record is from RNAcentral.